AAAUGUCCCGUCAAUAUACUUUACGACAAUAAACAGUUUACAUACAGUUAGUCGUCGUAAUGCAAUACACGCAGGUAUAGUAAACUUCAAGCUAGUCCGGGGUCAUGUCAGGUCACAGUCCGGACUCACCUGUUCAAGAUUGUGUAUUACAUGGAUGAUCUAUCGCCGCUUAAAUUUUAUUGGAGCAACUCCAACUUUGUAUCAUCCAAUCAGGAGCCGCAGAAGAUUUUAUUCAGAGUACCAUCUUGGGGUAAAAAAUAUCCCGGUUAACGUAUACGGCCUUGUAAACUUUUGCCACUCAUUAUAUAUAACAC
This 314-nucleotide long non-coding RNA is filed under the name Mytilus galloprovincialis (Mediterranean mussel). The record is from RNAcentral. Lineage: Eukaryota; Metazoa; Mollusca; Bivalvia; Mytilida; Mytilidae.